UGCUGAGACUUAUCCUCAGAUUGUCAUUUAAGAUAAGAUAUCAUAAUACAGGAAAACAAACAUUUAUUACCACAGUAGCCUCUAGGCUUUUAUUGCACAACACUAAGGAAAAGAAUAGGAUCAUCUCCUUAUUUAUCAUUCUGGUUUGGCUGCUCCAGUCCAUAUCCUUGGUAUUUUUCAGUGCCUAACCUGGAAGCUGAUCUCCAGGAGCUGUCUCAGUCAAAGACUGGGGAUGAAUGUGGAGAUAGUCCUGAUGUCCAGGGGAAGAUUCUGCCAAAAUCAGAGCAAUUUAAAAUGCCAGAAGGAGGGGAAGGGAAACCACAGCUUUAAACGAAGACAACCAAAAGAAUGCAAACUGGAUUUAUCCGAGAUAUUUGACUUUUAAAAAUCUCAAUAAAGUUUUCCAGUUUUCUCCAAA
This 418-nucleotide small RNA is filed under the name Pan troglodytes (chimpanzee). RNAcentral describes it as "retained intron". Lineage: Eukaryota; Metazoa; Chordata; Mammalia; Primates; Hominidae. The record is from RNAcentral.